Molecule: long non-coding RNA, 843 nt
Organism: Hemicordylus capensis (graceful crag lizard)
Lineage: Eukaryota; Metazoa; Chordata; Lepidosauria; Squamata; Cordylidae
Exons: 4
Source: RefSeq, a predicted model, not a curated record
ACGCUGUGACGACGCGCGCGGCGAGCUACUUCCGGUAUUCCCGGCCAAUAACGGGGGCAGGGAGGAGGAACGCCUCGAUGUGCCGCCCUGCCCCCCCCCACCCCCUCCCUGGGGCUGAGGGUUAACCCCUUUGCUGCCAGGCUGCAUUAGCUACCUCUGACCACCUGAGCCCCUCCCUAGAAGCACCCCGUAGAGAAGAAGAAGAAGAAGAAGAAGAAGAAGAAGAAGAAGAAGAAGAAGAAGAAGAAGGCAUUCUCUGAGGAGGAGGAGGAGGAGGAGGAGGAGGAGGAGGAGGAGGAGGAGGAGAAGGAGAAGGAGAAGAAGAAGAAGAAGAAGGCAUUCUCUGACCUGAGGGCAGGACUAGAACCAAUGGGCUGAAAUUACAAGGAAGCAGAUUUAGGCUAGACACUAGGAAGAACUAAUUAACGGUUUAUUGUUCAAACUCAGUGUUGGUUCCAGCAGUUCCCAAUGUACAAGAGAAAGAGCAGAAGGUGGAACUGAACAAAGUUUAAAGGAUUUAGGAAGUCUUACUGCAUCAUACCUGGUGGACCCCAAGAGAGUUUUUCUAUCACCACUAAAGACUUUGGGCACAAAGGAGGGGGGAGGUCUCAGGGUCUCAGGGAUCAGCAGCGGGUGUUUCUGAGGUCCCUUGACAGCUUCCCAAAGAUGCUGACCUGACACCAGCCUUGAAGAAACAGGUUCUCCUCUAACUCGCAGGGACUUCAGGAACCGUGAAAGAAACUUUACAACUGGCUACUACCCAACAGCAACCCUGGGAAGAGGCAAUCCAUGAAACUCUAAUUGCUUAUCAAACUAUUCCUCAUUCUACUACAGGAAAACCAG